Molecule: ribosomal RNA, 660 nt
Filed under: uncultured bacterium
Lineage: Bacteria
Description: bacterial SSU rRNA
Rfam family: Bacterial small subunit ribosomal RNA
Source: RNAcentral
AGUGGCGGACGGGUGAGUAACGCGUGAGAAUCUUCCUUGGGGUCGGGGACAACCACUGGAAACGGUGGCUAAUACCGGAUAAGCCGAUUGGUGAAAGAUUUAUUGCCCGAAGAGGAGCUCGCGUCUGAUUAGCUAGUUGGUGAGGUAAGAGCUCACCAAGGCAGCGAUCAGUAGCUGGUCUGAGAGGACGAUCAGCCACACUGGGACUGAGACACGGCCCAGACUCCUACGGGAGGCAGCAGUGGGGAAUUUUCCGCAAUGGGCGAAAGCCUGACGGAGCAAGACCGCGUGAGGGAGGAAGGCUCUUGGGUUGUAAACCUCUUUUCUCAGGGAAGAAGCUCUGACGGUACCUGAGGAAUCAGCCUCGGCUAACUCCGUGCCAGCAGCCGCGGUAAUACGGAGGAGGCAAGCGUUAUCCGGAAUUAUUGGGCGUAAAGCGUCCGCAGGUGGCGAUUCAAGUCUGCUGUCAAAGCACGGGGCUUAACUCCGUAAAGGCAGUGGAAACUGAAUAGCUAGAGUGCCGUAGGGGUAGAGGGAAUUCCCGGUGUAGCGGUGAAAUGCGUAGAGAUCGGGAAGAACAUCGGUGGCGAAAGCGCUCUACUGGACGGCAACUGACACUCAGGGACGAAAGCUAGGGGAGCGAAUGGGAUUAGAUACCCC